AGAGGUGAGGCGAGGUGGGAGCCAGCGCAUGCCCCAGGCGUCCUGCUGACCAGGCAGACUGUCCUCAGAUGGCUUCUCCUGGCCCGGGGUUCGAUGCACGGGGGCUGUCGUCUGUUUACUAACCUGCCUGGCGUCAGAGCAGUUCACACGGGGUGUGCCUGGCGUGUCCACUGGAUGCCCAGCUCAGCCGGACCAGCGCCUCCCCUGCCUGCCAGAGGCCGUCCUGCCUGGCAGUUGGGGGUGUGGACUCCAGGGACACAUUGCUGGAGUUCGACCCCGGCUUGACUACUCGUUCAGGAGGCUUUGGACAAGUCACUGCACCUCCUCGGGCCUCAGUUUACCCUUUACAAAACUGGGAAACCAGUAGUUCUUAACUCACAGGCGUGUGAUGAGAGUUAAAUAAGUUAGUAUAUGUAGGAUUCUCAGAAGAGGGCCCAUCUGUGUUCCCGGCAUCUGUUACAUAUGAUCAUCAUUACCCCAUUCUUGAUCCAGUUCUGAAGUGGCCUAAGAAGGUGAUAAAUGUUAGCGGGUUUAGGAUAUGUGAUUGGCCAAUUAAAAAUGGUUAUUGUGUCAGUCCAACCAGGUUU
Molecule: long non-coding RNA, 587 nt
Organism: Cervus elaphus (red deer)
Lineage: Eukaryota; Metazoa; Chordata; Mammalia; Artiodactyla; Cervidae
Exons: 2
Source: RefSeq, a predicted model, not a curated record